This 446-nucleotide ribosomal RNA is filed under the name uncultured bacterium. RNAcentral's name for it is "SSU rRNA". It matches the Rfam family "Bacterial small subunit ribosomal RNA", at positions 26 to 518 of the family's 1533-position model. The record is from RNAcentral.
AGAGCGAACGCUGGCGGCAGGCCUAACACAUGCAAGUCGAGCGCCGUAGCAAUACGGAGCGGCAGACGGGAGAGUAACACGUGGGAACGUACCCUUUGGUUCGGAACAACCCAGGGAAACUUGGGCUAAUACCGAAUAAGCCCUUACGGGGAAAGAUUUAUCGCCGAAGGAUCGGCCCGCGUCUGAUUAGCUAGUUGGUGGGGUAACGGCCCACCAAGGCGACGAUCAGUAGCUGGUCUGAGAGGAUGAUCAGCCUCAUUGGGACUGAGACACGGCCCAAACUCCUACGGGAGGCAGCAGUGGGGAAUAUUGGACAAUGGGCGCAAGCCUGAUCCAGCCAUGCCGCGUGGGUGAUGAAGGCCCUAGGGUUGUAAAGCCCUUUCGGCGGGGUAAGAUAAUGACGGUACCGCAGAAGAAGCCCCGGCUAACUUCGUGCCAGCAGCCGC